AUGUCACCAUGUGAAAAGAUCUGCACCAAUAGCACCCAGCAUGAUAGGAUGCUUAUGAUGUAUUGUGUUUUUCUCUUGUUGCAGGUCACUGUGACAGCCUUAAAUGACCUCUCUCCUCCUGAGGAUUGCAGGAGCAUCACUACUGAGGAUGAUGGCGAGAGUUCAUCACUCGCUGUUUAUGAGUGGAUUCUGGAAAAUCUCAACAGUGAAGAAGACAUCUUUCCAGAUCAACAAGAGUACCCUGCAGCAUGUCCCCAUAUGAAACCCUUUCAGGCAUCCCUCUCGGUUAUCACAGAGGAGUCAUCUUCAUCACUUUCCGAAUGGAUGAGAGAAUUUGUUCCAGCAGUAAUCUUGCCUGGGAUAGAUUCGUCAGAAGAAGUUAUAGCCAUUCACAAGGGAUACUCAACUUUAUUGGAUGACGGGCCUGAUCUUCAGCAGGAGGACCCUUCCGUUGAUGCUGCAUGGGUCAAGGAGGCUACAGGACUGCAGCAAGCUGAUCAACAAGAGUACCCUGCACCAUGUCCCCAUAUGGAACCCUCUCAGGGAUCCCUCUCGGUUAUUACAGAGGAGUCAUCUUCAUCACUUUCCGAAUGGACGAGAGAAUUUGUUCCAGCAGUAAUCUUGCCUGGGAUAGAUUCGUCAGAAGAAGUUAUAGCCAUUCACAAGGUAAAGUCUUUCUUUGAAAUGGGUAUUUUGUUGUUCAUUUUAAUUAGAAUAUGGAAAUCUUACACUGUACAUUAUAGAUGA
Molecule: long non-coding RNA, 747 nt
Filed under: Callithrix jacchus (white-tufted-ear marmoset)
Lineage: Eukaryota; Metazoa; Chordata; Mammalia; Primates; Cebidae
Description: lncRNA (ENSCJAG00000073530.1)
Source: RNAcentral